This is a non-coding RNA of Armillaria mellea, 77 nucleotides long. Lineage: Eukaryota; Fungi; Basidiomycota; Agaricomycetes; Agaricales; Physalacriaceae. The record is from the annotation of a GenBank genome assembly.
UCGGAUAUGGUGUAACGGCUAACAUUGCCGCCUUUCAAUGCUCGCGGCAGCUCGGGGUUUGAUUCCCCGUAUCCGAA